Molecule: ribosomal RNA, 427 nt
Filed under: uncultured bacterium
Lineage: Bacteria
Description: bacterial SSU rRNA
Rfam family: Bacterial small subunit ribosomal RNA
Source: RNAcentral
UGGGGAAUUUUGGACAAUGGGCGAAAGCCUGAUCCAGCCAUGCCGCGUGAGUGAAGAAGGCCUUCGGGUUGUAAAGCUCUUUCAGGUGGAAAGAAAACGCAUAGGUUAAUACCUUGUGCGGAUGACGGUACCAUCAGAAGAAGCACCGGCUAACUACGUGCCAGCAGCCGCGGUAAUACGUAGGGUGCGAGCGUUAAUCGGAAUUACUGGGUGUAAAGGGAGCGUAGGCGGUAAGGCAGGUCUGAUGUGAAAAUUUGGGGCUCAACCCCAAAACUGCAUUGGAAACUGCUUAACUAGAGUGUCGGAGAGGCAAGUGGAAUUCCUAGUGUAGCGGUGAAAUGCGUAGAUAUUAGGAGGAACACCAGUGGCGAAGGCGGCUCGCUGGACGAUAACUGACGCUGAGGCUCGAAAGCGUGGGGAGCAAACA